GGGUGUCCCCUUCUUCCCUCACCUCUCCAAGUGCAUCCCUCCUGAAACUGCACGCUCAGCUUCUCUAGAUACACAGAGAGACCUUCCAAGAGUAGAGGAGGACUGGUCUUCAGUCAAAGGUAUACAAGUAGCUGUGCUCCCCGGAUAGAACCUCAAAACAAGCUCUUGGUGUAUAUUUUUAAAAAGAAGUGGCAUAGCAGAGAUUCUUCU
Cricetulus griseus (Chinese hamster) is the source of this 210-nucleotide unclassified non-coding RNA. Its record names the gene 7SK. It matches the Rfam family "7SK RNA". Rfam says of the family: 7SK was discovered as an abundant small nuclear RNA in the mid-70s but a possible function has only recently been suggested. Two independent studies have found that 7SK RNA binds the CDK9/cyclin T complex (known as elongation factor P-TEFb). Lineage: Eukaryota; Metazoa; Chordata; Mammalia; Rodentia; Cricetidae. The record is from Ensembl.